UGGGGAAUUUUGGACAAUGGGGGAAACCCUGAUCCAGCCAUCCCGCGUGUGCGAUGAAGGCCUUCGGGUUGUAAAGCACUUUUUGGCAGGAAAGAAACGUCGCGGGUUAAUACCCCGCGGAACUGACGGUACCUGCAGAAUAAGCACCGGCUAACUACGUGCCAGCAGCCGCGGUAAUACGUAGGGUGCAAGCGUUAAUCGGAAUUACUGGGCGUAAAGCGUGCGCAGGCGGUUCGGAAAGAAAGAUGUGAAAUCCCAGAGCUUAACUUUGGAACUGCAUUUUUAACUACCGGGCUAGAGUGUGUCAGAGGGAGGUGGAAUUCCGCGUGUAGCAGUGAAAUGCGUAGAUAUGCGGAGGAACACCGAUGGCGAAGGCAGCCUCCUGGGGAUAACACUGACGCUCAUGCACGAAAGCGUGGGGAGCAAACAGGAUUAGAUACCCUGGGUAGUCCACGCCCUAAA
This 462-nucleotide ribosomal RNA is filed under the name uncultured bacterium. RNAcentral describes it as "partial 16S ribosomal RNA". It matches the Rfam family "Bacterial small subunit ribosomal RNA", at positions 355 to 806 of the family's 1533-position model. The record is from RNAcentral.